GAUCCCUGGCUCAGGAUGAACGCUAGCUACAGGCUUAACACAUGCAAGUCGAGGGGCAUCGGGAAGAAAGCUUGCUUUCUUUGCCGGCGACCGGCGCACGGGUGAGUAACACGUAUCCAACCUGCCCUUUACUCGGGGAUAGCCUUUCGAAAGAAAGAUUAAUACCCGAUGGCAUAAUGAUUCCGCAUGGUUCCAUUAUUAAAGGAUUCCGGUAAAGGAUGGGGAUGCGUUCCAUUAGGUUGUUUGGGUGAGGUAACGGCU
RNAcentral lists this ribosomal RNA (261 nucleotides) under uncultured bacterium. Its description in RNAcentral is "partial 16S ribosomal RNA". It matches the Rfam family "Bacterial small subunit ribosomal RNA", at positions 15 to 265 of the family's 1533-position model. The record is from RNAcentral.